UACGGAGGAUGCAAGCGUUAUCCGGAAUGAUUGGGCGUAAAGCGUCCGCAGGUGGCAAUGUAAGUCUGCUGUCAAAGCGUCUGGCUCAACCAGAUAAAGGCAGUGGAAACUACAUAGCUAGAGUAAGGUAGGGGUAGAGGGAAUUCCCGGUGUAGCGGUGAAAUGCGUAGAUAUCGGGAAGAACACCAGUGGCGAAGGCGCUCUACUGGGCCACAACUGACGCUGAGGGACGAAAGCUAGGGGAGCGAAAGGG
Molecule: ribosomal RNA, 253 nt
Filed under: uncultured bacterium
Lineage: Bacteria
Description: partial 16S ribosomal RNA
Rfam family: Bacterial small subunit ribosomal RNA
Source: RNAcentral